This is a long non-coding RNA of Oncorhynchus nerka (sockeye salmon), 4174 nucleotides long. RefSeq lists it as uncharacterized. The transcript is spliced from 2 exons. NCBI's taxonomy places the organism in Eukaryota, Metazoa, Chordata, Actinopteri, Salmoniformes, Salmonidae. The record is from RefSeq and is a predicted model, not a curated record.
UGCAAUGGAGCACUGAAAAAUCAACACUAGGUAACGCUGGCCAAUUUGCUGUGUAAUGGCAGAGUACAGGUCUAAUUAUAUCAUUAUGUAGGACAAUGACACAUCUCUGCUCAUCAUACAAUGCUUGUAGCUACUAGAAAUACGUGUCUGUUUCAUCACAACAGGCUUACAUUGCUGACACAGUUAUCCAAAACAACCUUCAUUCACUUUAGAGUCUAGGCAGUAGCAGGUAAAGUUUCCUUCACAAGAGCAUGUACUCGUGCCACCUGGGAUAAGAAUCAUCAAACAUGAUUGCAGAGUACAUGGGCAAAGAUCUGUCUUUCCUAAAAACACAGGUUGUUGUAUAACAACAUUUUAAAUCAUUCCUUGUAAAAAAAAAGAAGUUAUAAUUCCAACACCCUUUGAACACCCGCUGUAAAGUAAUAACUAUGCAAAUGUCAUCUAAUGUGUCCAAAAAACAUAUGUAAAAUGAAAAUCCCAAAAAUUACACACAACAAAUAUUAAAAUAACAUUCUUGCACAGUGUAGACCUAAUAGAUACAAAAUGCAGCAAGGAUGGUUUGGUAGUAAAUUAUAUUCCUAUUCCGCCUAUAGAAAACACAAAAAAAGGAUAUACCACAUGUAGGGUAUUUUUGAAUAGGAGGAAACUGAGUUACUUGUCAGAAUUCUGAAUACUUACACAAGUACUAAAUGUAUGUAUGUAGCUUCAUAUUUAUCAACACCAUGAACUUUUGUAUAUUAAUUAACAAACAUCACACCACCACCCAUCUAUUGUAGGCUGGGUGAAAAUCUCUAAUGAAAGUCAACCUUGAAACAGAACAUUGUAUAUAAGAGGGUAAACUCAAGGCUGUCUGCAGGCUCAGUAAGGCCAUCCCAUUCUAUACAUGCCAGGUUAGGAAUUAGUGAUGUUUUUUGUGGAACUAUUUCAAUAUUUUAAUGUAUAGACAAAUAGUAUAUAAUAAUCCAUAAAACAAAACACCUUCUGUCAUCAUUAUGCCAAUCUGGUGAGGAGACAAAAUAAUUGGUUGCAGCACAAAGAACUGGUAUAAUAGAGGCAAUGUUUUAACCAAGAGUUGUGUUCAAAAACAGCUUGGUUUGGACAGCGUAAGUGACGAUGGUAUAAUAGCUAUGGGGUUCAAUAUGUGCAACAUGUCCGAUCAGAUAUCAAUGCAAUAUCACUGUGAAUCACUGGGGCAUCUGGUCUUCAAGAUCUCUCUGAAACAAUAUCCUCCUGAUCCCAACCCCCUUGUUGCUUCCUGGUUACAAACUGUAGGCUACAAACCAACAGCAUAUCCAUAUAAUGUAUUUUAUUAUGUAUCAUCAGUAGGGACAGGAGUUUUCCGGAUCACUUGACUUGACCAAGUAACCUCUGGGUCCUAGUUGUCAGACAUAACAAGAAACACUUUUCCGCUUCGGUCUUUACCAUAUCCUUGUCUUUUCAGAAUUGGGCUUACAGUAAGCUAAAUAGUUGCCAUAGGAUAUAGUAGAUGAGAUUUAUUAACAUCACUUCAGUUCAUACCUAAACUGACUGUUAGAAUAUGUAUAGUCCUCCAUUUUGAAGGAGAGUAAGAACAGGGAGUUCUAUUAUGUGCAAAAGACGAAACAUGCAGGAAAUAACACGAUGGGGAGUACUGUUGAAAUCAUUGAAUCAAGAAGGGCUUUCAUCUAUGAAUUACAAUUACAUGAUUGAAAAACUAUGAAAAGAGUCAUCUUUUGUGGUUCCUGCUGAGAUAGAGAUGUUGUCCAUGGACUAUCCAGACCACCCUGAAACAUACACAAUAGAACCAUCUACAAUGUAUGUACUAUAAGUCCCAAUGUAUUAUGUGAUUAAUUAAUUCAUUGACUUCAAAAGAAAAUACAAAAUAAAUUACUGUCCCAGAUUGCUGUAGUAAAAAAGUUCAUUUAAAUUGCACUUUGUCUUGCUCCAAAGGCAUACUUAUGCACUAGUCAGGAUGUCAGCUCCAGCGAGGUAGAAUUCUGGGUACCCCUACAGUAAUAAGCAAUAGUGACAUUGUUAUUCACACAUUUGAUCAAAAACAGUGUCUCAGCUGAAAUGACUUGUCUCUCUGUACCCUCUAAAUUUAUCUUAGGGAUUCAACUUACGACUCCCAAUUUAGCUCAAAAUGAGAUAUGAGACAAGAUUUGUGAAAAAAAUAGUAAUGUGCUUUGUUCAUGCGAGUCUGUGAUUUUCAUUCUUUAAUGUAAGGCUGGCCAGCUGAAACAGGGUGAAGGGAGAGGAGUGAAUGUGUGGGAGAGGGAAAGAGGAAAAAGGCAAGGUUUCCAAGAGAGGAAAUGCCAAGGCUAAAGCAUUUUUUUAAAAUUAAGGUUACAAACAGUGAACAGAGUAAUAAAUAGUUUUUCCACCUAUGGCUGGGAUUUGAACCCACUGCAGUUUUGGCCGAUUGAUACAGUAUUACCACUUUAAUAGGUAUUUGGUAGCAUUGCCUUUAAAUUGUUUAACUUGGGUCAAACGUUUUGGCUAGCCUUCCACAAGCUAAAUGAGGUGAUAUCUCAUUAAACAUGCACAUAUUUGCAUAUCCUGCAAAUCCAUUUUUUUGGUCUCUGUGAAGUGAGCCUUAAAAUGUUGGUUUCCUUUUUUUGAGAAGCUACAGGACCAGACAUUUACAUUUCUAUCUGUAAAAUACUGAAGUCGUGUACAUGAAGUCGGUCCCUCUCCUUGUUCGGGCGGUUUUCGGCGGUCGACGUCACGACCUUCUAGCCAUCACUGAUCCAUUUUUCAUUUUCCAUUGGUUUUGUCUUGUCUUCCUUCACACCUGGUUCCAAUCCCAUCCCACAUGUUGUUUAUUUCACCCUCUGUUUCCCCUCAUGUCCUUGUCGGAGAUUGUUUGACUGUAUGUUAUGUGCAAGUUAUGUUUUGGUGUGCGACGGGUUUUGUACCCACUUUUAUUAUUUUGGUUUUCGGAGUUUUGUGAGCACCAUCUGUAGCCGCAGCGGUCACACUGCCGGUCGGUGCCGGGUUGGUUCCUCUGGGAAUCGAGGCAGCAGGCAGGGCGCUCUGGCGUCACCCCAGUGCAUACUGGGCUAUCAGCCGGUUCUGGCUCCUUGGCAUCAAAGUCAGACCGAGGCUCCUGCGGUGGACGACUGGUUCCGGCGCGCGACGGAAACAUGGGACGCCGCCCAUGUCCACCUUCAGCACGCUGUGACUGCCACUGCAGUGAGGCCCCGGUGGACCGGGUCUGGCUCUUGACCCGAAACCUUCCCCUCCGCCUGCCCUGUAGGAAGAUGGGUCCGUGGUUUGUAGGGCCAUUUAAAGUCCUGAGGAGAGUGAACAAGGUUUGUUAUAGGUUACAGCUUCCCCCCCAAUUACCGUAUUAACCCCUCAUUCCAUGUGUCUCUCCUCAGGUCGGUGGUGGCGGGCCCGCUCCAGGAGUCUGAGGUGCGGGAGGUUCCUCCAUCCCCUCUGGACAUCAAGGGGGCCCCGGCGUACUCCAUUCAUUCCAUACUGGAUUCGAGACGUCAGGCAAGGGGCCUUCAGUACCUCGUGGACUGGGAGGGGUAUGGUCCGGAGGAGAGAUGCUGGGUCCCGGUGGAGGAACGGCUCCAUCACUCUCUUUCUUGAUCAAAUAUCCCUUGCACAGCCUGGAGGUGUGUUGGGUCAUUGUCCUUUUGAAAGACAAAUGAUAGUCCCACUAAGCGCAAACCAGAUGGGAUGGCGUAUAGCUGUAUAAUGCUGUGGUAGCCAUGCUGGUUAAGUGUGCCUUGAAUAAAUCGCAGACAGUGUAACCAGCAAAGCACCCCCACACCAUCACAACUCCUCCUCUGUGCUUAGUGGUGGGAACCACACAUGAGACCAUCCAUUCACCUACUCUGCGUCUCACAAUGACACGGCGGUUGUACUCAUCAGACCAAAGGACAGAUUUCCACUGAUCUAAUGUCCAUUGCUCGUGUUUCUUGGCCCAAGAAAGUCUCUUCUUAUUGUUGGUGUCCUUUAGUGGCAAUUCAACCAUGAAGGCCUGAUUCACACAGUCUCCUCUGAACAGUUGAUGUUGAGAUGUGUCUGUUACUUGAAAUAUGUGAAGCUCUUAUAAAGGAUUGUCAUUGUAUAUUGCAUAACGCCUGGCAGGUACCUUUUGGCAAAGGAACCUCUUGUUUAGGACUAUCAUAGGAAUAUCAUUGACCGAAAGCUCAUUCACUAUUAAAGAAAAGUGCAUCUG